GGGCGAGUGGCGGAAUUGGUAGACGCACGGGACUCAAAAUCCCGCGAUGGCAACAUCAUGAGAGUUCGAUUCUCUCCUCGCCCA
This 84-nucleotide transfer RNA is filed under the name bacterium. RNAcentral's name for it is "tRNA-Leu". It matches the Rfam family "tRNA". Rfam says of the family: Transfer RNA (tRNA) molecules are approximately 80 nucleotides in length. Their secondary structure includes four short double-helical elements and three loops (D, anti-codon, and T loops). The record is from RNAcentral.